UGAACGCUGGCGGCGUGCCUCAUACAUGCAAGUCGAGCGAACGGACGAGAAGCUUGCUUCUCUAAUGUUAGCGGCGGACGGGUGAGUAACACGUGGAUAACCUACCUAUAAGACUGGGAUAACUUCGGGAAACCGUAGCUAAUACCGGAUAAUAUUUUGAACCGCAUGGUUCAAAAGUGAAAGACGGUCUUGCUGUCACUUAUAGAUGGAUCCGCGCUGCAUUAGCUAGUUGGCAAGGUAACGGCUUACCAAGGCAACGAUGCAUAGCCGACCUGAGAGGGUGAUCGGCCACACUGGAACUGAGACACGGUCCAGACUCCUACGGGAGGCAGCAGUAGGGAAUCUUCCGCAAUGGGCGAAAGCCUGACGGAGCAACGCCGCGUGAGUGAUGAAGGUCUUCGGAUCGUAAAACUCUGUUAUUAGGGAAGAACAUAUGUGUAAGUAACUGUGCACAUCUUGACGGUACCUAAUCAGAAAGCCACGGCUAACUACGUG
Molecule: ribosomal RNA, 495 nt
Filed under: uncultured bacterium
Lineage: Bacteria
Description: partial 16S ribosomal RNA
Rfam family: Bacterial small subunit ribosomal RNA
Source: RNAcentral